GGGGAAAAAUUAAUAAAUAGGGUAAUUUUAAUAAAAGUAAUUUUAAAUUAAGUAAAUUAAUAAUAUUUUAAUUGGGGGGUUAAAGUAUGUUGAUUGAAAAAAUUUAAAUUUUUAUAGUAUAUUAGUAUUGUAAAAGAAUUUUGAAAUAUUUGAAAUAUGAAUUUAUUUGUAAGUAAUUUUAAUUUAAUGUAUCUUGUGUAUCAGAGUUUAUUAAAUAAAAUUUUUAUAAAAAAAAAUUCUCGAAUUUAAGGGAGAUAAUUAAUUAUAAGAGUUAUUGUUGUAUAAAUAUUUUUAAUAAUUAAUUUGAAAUGAGAUGUUAAUCGUUCUUAAAUAUAUCUAGUUUUUUUAGAAAAAAAUUUAAUUUUAAAUUUAUUUAAGAGUAUUUAAUUAAUUAUUUUAAUUAUAUAUAUAUAUAUUAUUUGAUAAAUUUUAUAUUUUAAGGGAUAAGCUUUAAAUUAAAUUUAAUAAAAUUAAAAUUAAAUUUUUAAAAUUUUUAUGAUUUAUAUUGUUAAUAAAUUAUAAUUUAUUAUAAAUAAUUUUAAAUAUAAAUAAAAUUUAAUAAAAAUUUAUUAUAUUUAUAAAAAAAUUUUUUUUAAUUAGAAAAAAUUUAAUAUAAUGAUAAAAUUAGUAUAUAUAUAUAUAUCAUAUAAAUAAAUUAAAUAAUUAUUUAAUUUAAGUGAAAGUAUUUAUAAGGAAUUCGGCAAAAUAAUUUAAAUAAUACUCACUUGUUUAUCAAAAACAUGUCUUUUUGUAAAUAAUAUAAAGUCUAAUCUGCCCACUGAUUAAGAAAAAUUAAAGGGCUGCAGUAUAUUGACUGUACAAAGGUAGCAUAAUCAUUAGUCAUUUAAUUGAUGACUUGUAUGAAGGAUUGGAUGAAGUAUUAACUGUCUUAUAUAUAAUUUGUAGAAUUUAAUUUUUAAAUUAAAAAGUUUAAAUAAAUUAAAAAGACGAGAAGACCCUAUAGAGUUUUAUAAUUUUUUUUAAUUAUAAUUAUUAAUAAAUUAAAAAUUUUUAAUUAUUUAAAUUAUUUUAUUGGGGUGAUAGAAAAAUAAGAAUAACUUUUUUUAUUAAAGAUCAUAAAUAAGUGAAUAAAUGAUCCAAUUUUAUUGAUUAUAAGAAAAAAUUACCUUAGGGAUAACAGCGUUAUUUAUUUUUUUAGUUCAUAUAAAAAUUUAAGUUUGCGACCUCGAUGUUGGAUUAAGAUAAAAGUUAAAUGUAGAAGUUUAAAUUUUUGAUCUGUUCGAUCAUUAAAAUCUUACAUGAUCUGAGUUCAGACCGGUGUGAGCCAGGUUGGUUUCUAUCUUUUAAAAAAUAAAAUAUUUUAGUACGAAAGGAUUAAAUAUUUAAAUUAAAUUUAUUAUUUUUGAAUUUUAAUAAAUAAUAUAUAUAUAUAUAUAUUAAUAAUAAUAAUAUAAAUUAAUGAUA
RNAcentral lists this ribosomal RNA (1425 nucleotides) under Paraona staudingeri. RNAcentral describes it as "16S ribosomal RNA". Lineage: Eukaryota; Metazoa; Arthropoda; Insecta; Lepidoptera; Erebidae. The record is from RNAcentral.